AAAGUCGUAACAAGGUUUCCGUAGGUGAACCUGCGGAAGGAUCAUCAUUGAAUCUUCAAAAUCUAUACACCCUUGUGAACUUGGCAGCCGGGCGGCCAGUCAAUGCAAAUUUGCUUUGGCUAGCAGCACCGGUUGAGCCUUAAUAUUUGAGUGUUCUUGUUGUUGGUGGUUCCAGUGGAAUGCGUUGAUCAGCUUGAUCGAGGCUGCUGUCCGCCAGCUUCAAGGGCGCUUGUUAAACAAAAACGCUAUUAGAACACGAAAGCUAAUAAAGUUUAUUAUAAUUAAACAACUUUCAACAAUGGAUCUCUUGGCUCUC
This 316-nucleotide unclassified non-coding RNA is filed under the name Basidiomycota sp. RNAcentral describes it as "partial contains small subunit ribosomal RNA, internal transcribed spacer 1, and 5.8S ribosomal RNA". The stretch from base 1 to 47 matches the Rfam family "Eukaryotic small subunit ribosomal RNA", at positions 1785 to 1831 of the family's 1831-position model. Lineage: Eukaryota; Fungi; Basidiomycota. The record is from RNAcentral.